Molecule: long non-coding RNA, 454 nt
Filed under: Callithrix jacchus (white-tufted-ear marmoset)
Lineage: Eukaryota; Metazoa; Chordata; Mammalia; Primates; Cebidae
Description: lncRNA (ENSCJAG00000052016.2)
Source: RNAcentral
CCUGGAAAUCAUUUGUGCCCUCUGCCUGCUGGGCACAGAGUUCGCCGCACAUGCUGGAUCUAGGUCCAGGUCUGCACCCAGCCUGAGUGACCGAUGGUGGCCAGGGGCGAGAGGUAUUCUCCAGGAAUCAGGAACAGACUAAAUGGAAACUCAGCGGUACCCAGCAACCCAUGAUGGCGAGCUUGGCACUCCCCACGACUCCAAACAGUGUGCCCCAGAUGAUUCAAUGUUUCUUGCAGGGGUCUCUGCUGUGAUAUUCCGGAAGCUGCAGCACCACUGCAGCAGGGAAGGCCAGGAACGUUGAAAGAACUGCACCUCGAGGGAGAGGUCUUGUGAGUUCAGCCCUGGCCAGGCACCAACUGCAACCCGACAAUUGCUGGGGAGAUCACACUGGUCUCCAGGGUCAGUUAUGACUUGAAAAUUCUAUUUAUACCCUUUUAAAAGAAGAGCAGAC